UUACGGGAGGCAGCAGUGGGGAAUUUUGGACAAUGGGCGCAAGCCUGAUCCAGCAAUGCCGCGUGAGUGAAGAAGGCCUUCGGGUUGUAAAGCUCUUUUGUCAGGGAAGAAACGGUGGGAGCUAAUAUCUCCUACUAAUGACGGUACCUGAAGAAUAAGCACCGGCUAACUACGUGCCAGCAGCCGCGGUAAUACGUAGGGUGCAAGCGUUAAUCGGAAUUACUGGGCGUAAAGCGUGCGCAGGCGGUUUUGUAAGUCUGUCGUGAAAGCCCCGGGCUCAACCUGGGAAUUGCGAUGGAGACUGCAAGGCUUGAAUCUGGCAGAGGGGGGUAGAAUUCCACGUGUAGCAGUGAAAUGCGUAGAGAUGUGGAGGAACACCGAUGGCGAAGGCAGCCCCCUGGGUCAAGAUUGACGCUCAUGCACGAAAGCGUGGGGAGCAAACAGGAUUAGAUACCCCGGUAGA
RNAcentral lists this ribosomal RNA (463 nucleotides) under uncultured bacterium. Its description in RNAcentral is "bacterial SSU rRNA". It matches the Rfam family "Bacterial small subunit ribosomal RNA", at positions 339 to 794 of the family's 1533-position model. The record is from RNAcentral.